RNAcentral lists this long non-coding RNA (3447 nucleotides) under Podarcis lilfordi (Lilford's wall lizard). Lineage: Eukaryota; Metazoa; Chordata; Lepidosauria; Squamata; Lacertidae. The record is from RNAcentral.
AGUUUAAGGGUGCUGGGAUUUGUUAGACCUUCAUUCUCCUUCCUGAGCUACCAUUCCCAGAGUUCCAUGGGAAGAGGGAUUGCUUGUUAAACCACUCUAGGAAUAGGGCCUCAGCACUUUUAACAAGCUCUAGUUCCCAAUAUCCUUUGGGGGAGUGUUUAAAGUGGUAUAUUUACAGCCAUUCUUAUCUCAGUUAUGCUUUCUUCUUAAAAUCAGACCUUCGUGUUCAAUGCAGAAAGGCAGAGAGAGGAGGGUCAGCAUACACAGGAAUGCUGGGGGUGUGGCUAGCAGCCCUGUGCAUGCGCCCUCAUCCCCCAGAUCCCUCAUGCAUUCUCUUGAAUUUCUGAAGUGGGCUUCAGUCUCUGUCCAGUCUCCAAAUUGCUACUUCUUGCACACUUACUGUGCCAUAGACUAAGAUCUGUCCCAACCCUGCUGGUGAAUUGCCCAUUCAGGGAAACAUAGUCAUUUCCAAAGAUUAACAUUCCUUUGCCAAAGCCCCAACUGCUCAGUCACGCAGAUCAAACCAGUAAGCUCAUAAGAAUACGUAGAGAUAACAUCAGGGGGGAAAGUGGGGGUUUGGUUUUGUGUUUUUUGCUCUUACGUUUGUACUGCAUCCCAUUUGUGAGUUGUUGUGGUGUUGUUUUUUUAACUUUAAAACCAGCAGUCUUUUGAUUUUUAGUAUUAUGUUUCAACUUCUGUGAACAAAACAUUUUAAAUAUCACAAAUAAUAUCUAUCUGUAUCUAUACUCACUUUUUGUAUGUUCAUGCAUGAACUGGGUGCCAGUCUUCUUGGCUCCAGAUCGGGCAACUGCCGUGCAUUAUAGAUGGAGCAACUGUUGAAAAUGGUCCAGAAACUCCAAUUAGCUCUGAAUAUAUCUGAAAGACUGCUAGGCUCACCUGGGUAUUAUCAAUUCAUUACUUGAGCACUGGCUUUUGAGCACUGGCUUUUGAUCAAUUUCUGGGCCUAAUUCAAAGUGCUAAAGCCCCUUAUGGAUUGGGACCAGUUUAGAUCAAGUCUUGCCUGCUUCUGCAUGUACCUUACUAGGCUCUGAAAUCAGAGGCUUAUCUCUGUGUGGCCGUCCCAAGUGAGGUACAGCAGGCGACAGUGGGAGAUGGUUGGCUGCAUUGGGAUGUAAAACUAAAUCAUGUAACAACAAGCCCACUGGGUAAACUAUGGUUUGAAACUGGCUGCUUUCAACAAAUCAUGGUGAAGUGUAGCCACUGUUUGUCCAGGUUCAGAUGUCACAAGAAGCUGCAGUUAAUCCGAAAUGGAAGCAAGAGAUUCUGAACUCCUCCUCGCGGUCAUGUCAGAGGAAGAGGCAGAGGGAAGAAGGCUCACUGUGGCUCAUUCUUGUAACACCCUGGUUAAGCGCUGUGUCCAAAAAAGGGGUCAAUAUUAGUUACGAAUGAUAUAUUACAAGUGUUUGAUAAUAAUAGGCUAUUAAUUGGUUCUUGAAUGCAUAAUUGGAGUAAGUCAUCCUCUUUCUUAGUUCUAUAAAUUGGGGCUUUAAACAGAAAAUUGUUAUUGACAAUCAGUCCAGCUGAUUUGAUCAGUCAGUUUAUCAACUGCUGAUCAGAGAAACCUUGAGAGAGGCUGGAAAUUUAUGGGUUUUUGAGGGUCAGAAAAUCCCUGUAUUGCUAAAAAUAGAAAUAUGCCUUGGGCUGCACAAAUAACAACCCUACUAUGCUUCACACCAAGAGAGAGAGAAAGAGAGAGUUAAGAUUGCAGGGAGAGGGGAUAGAAGAGGCAAAUGGAAAUGUUUGGAGGCUGUGUGAAAAGCUGCUCCAUCUAGUUCACUAUUGCCUACACUGACUGGCAGAGGCUCUCCAGGGCUGCAAGCAAGAGUUGUUCCCAAUCCCAAUCAGGGACUGAACCUGAGACAUUUUGCAUGCAAGGCAUGUGCUUUACCACUGAGAAAUUACACUGAAGAAAUCAAUAACAUUUUUUAGAAAGAAAGAAAUUACACUGAAAACCCAGCUGAAGAUGCGGAGAGCCUUGUCUGAUAGCAAAUAUACUGCAUUUCCCCUGUUGAGAAACGGGUGAGCUUCACUCACCAGUGGUCAGUCAGUUUCAAUGCAAAUAUGGGAAGUUCCUACUUGGAAGAAAGAUCUGGCAAAUCUUGAUGGGACUAUUUUUCACAGCUGCCCGAAGCGACACAUAGAGGGCUUUCCUUGAGAGAAACAACCAGGGAACUUUGAAGUGAGGAAAAAGAGUUUCAAAAAGAGCAGCAAAUGUUUAAAGGAGGAGGGGCUGAACAUGACCCUCACAUAAGGAAGAUGUAUGCAACCCCAUUAGAAAUCUGUGCAAUGCCUAAAGCUGGCCAAAAGGUGGUGGGCAAAACCACCCCUGUGCCUCAUUUUAUUCAUAAAAUAUAAGCCCUAGUUCUUAUUUCAUAUAUCUUUCUUUGGUUUUUCCUCCUUUUCCUCCCUGAGUGCAGCCCAACUUCAUUAAAAUCCAUGAGAAUUUUGCUAUUGAUUUCAAAGAAAGAUGAAACGCACCCCAUGCUUCUCAAUCUCCCCUUCAUUCCGUAUUACCUCACCAACCCUUGUUAUCGCCUUUCCUUUAGUCGUGGAAAGAUUUCCUGCUCAGUAACAUAUAGAUAAGAUUGCAAAGACUCAGCAGCAGCAGCAGCUACCCGACUUGUUGACUGACCUAUCUGUCUGCUUCCUAUUAUGUAAGAUGCAGUUCUGAGAUGUCUUACUGCAUUAUUGUAUUGAUGAAGACUUUGUAGUUCCUGGUUUCCUGGAGUCUUGUAAAGCAUAAGAUAUUCAGAUCUUUCAUGUACCUUUGAAAGAGGCAGAACUUCCCUCCCUUAGCUUCAGGAGGGUCCAACAACUGCAUGUAAAAGGAUGUGCUUUUUCACGAGCAGAAUAUAACAAGCUCCAUUAGCGCUUGAGUGUAAUUGAGUAAGUAAGGAAGACGAAGAAUUCUCAAACUUGGUGACCCCUAAGUUAUAAGAGAAAAAGAACAACUUUCUUCAUAUAGUUAUGUGCACCACAGUCUCUGAGAGGUGAGACACCCCACGGGUUCCAGCACAAACUUUGGGUUUAGUUUACUGAAGUGAAGAUAACAGGAAAAUGGUGGCUUCUUCUGUGAUAUAAGGUAAAGUAUAUUUAUACACAGAGAUAAAGAAGGAGAGGCUAAGAUGGAAAGCUCAGAGCAUUAACAUGCCACAUUAGGUUUCUGGGAAGGGGGCCAAAGCCAUAUCUUUGGGUUCUCGCAGAGAGUAAGUCAAGCUUCUAUCGCUUUCUAGAUACAGCCACACCCAGAUGUUAAUGACAUCACCCUCAGCCAGGGGAGGGAAAAAGAAAGACAUGCCCCUUUCAGCUCACCUUCCAGAAGGGUCUCCAACUAUUAGCUUUGGUGACAACUAAUCACCAGCAUUUGGCUAACUCUUUAGUUAUGCAAAGUCCCAUUCUCCCAAGAUACUGGGGACAUGAAAUAUG